GCCUACAUGAUAAAUCCAAGAUGGCGGUACAACAGGGCAAAAAGACUAUAAAUUCUAUUACGAAAAUCAGGAUUUUUGCAUUUUUUGCCGUUGCAUUGUUUUGAAACUUAUUCGGUCAAAUUUUAUGGUAAAGAGAAACUUACCGCGAAGAUUUUGAGCAUAUAUAUGAUUGAAUUGGAUGAAAACUCGCAAAAUUAUCCAUCGAUAAAAGUUCGUGUAUAGUACUGAUAUAGUACUAUAUAUGUAACUUGUACAGUUUUGCUUUAAUUUUUGCUCACUAUUUGCAUAAAAAGCAAAUUAUAACAGACCAUAGAUGAUAGACCCUCAUCCAGUGCUCUCAUCAGUUUACUUCUCUAACAAGCAAGGAGGGGGGGGGGGGGGUUACAUAACAGUUCAUUUUUCAUAAUUAUGAGGACAGAGCAGAUGAUGAUGAGAGAUGCAAGUAUAAAACACCAUUCACAAGGCUAGAUGUUAACAUAGCACAGUAUUUCUGGCAAUAAAACGCUCCAACUGACCAACUGACCAUUUCACACGAACUUUUAUCGCUGGAUAAUUUUGCGAUUUUUCAUCCAAUUCAAUCAUAUAUAUGCUCAAAAUCUUCGCGGUAAGUUUCUCUUUACCAUAAAAUUUGACCGAAUAAGUUUCGAAACAAUGCGACGGCAAAAAAUGCAAAAAUCCUGAUUUUCGUAAUAGAAUCUAUAGUCUUUUUGCCCUGUUGUACCGCCAUCUUGGAUUUAUCAUGUAGGCCCCGCCUGCGCUAGGUAUGCGUUGGCAAUCUAGAUCUCCUAUAUCUAUGGUCCCA
Non-coding RNA from Paramuricea clavata, 802 nucleotides. Lineage: Eukaryota; Metazoa; Cnidaria; Anthozoa; Malacalcyonacea; Plexauridae. The record is from the annotation of a GenBank genome assembly.